AGCGAACGCUGGCGGCAGGCCUAACACAUGCAAGUCGCACGAACUCUUCGGAGUUAGUGGCGGACGGGUGAGUAACCCGUGGGAACGUGCCUUUAGGUUCGGAAUAACUCAGGGAAACUUGUGCUAAUACCGAAUGUGCCCUUCGGGGGAAAGAUUUAUCGCCUUUAGAGCGGCCCGCGUCUGAUUAGCUAGUUGGUGAGGUAACGGCUCACCAAGGCGACGAUCAGUAGCUGGUCUGAGAGGAUGGCCAGCCACACUGGGACUGAGACACGGCCCAGACUCCUACGGGAGGCAGCAGUGGGGAAUCUUGCGCAAUGGGCGAAAGCCUGACGCAGCCAUGCCGCGUGAAUGAUGAAGGUCUUAGGAUUGUAAAAUUCUUUCACCGGGGACGAUAAUGACGGUACCCGGAGAAGAAGCCCCGGCUAACUUCGUGCCAGCCGCCGCAGUAA
RNAcentral lists this ribosomal RNA (449 nucleotides) under uncultured bacterium. Its description in RNAcentral is "partial 16S ribosomal RNA". It matches the Rfam family "Bacterial small subunit ribosomal RNA", at positions 29 to 523 of the family's 1533-position model. The record is from RNAcentral.